AAUCAACGCUGGCGGCGUGCCUCAGACAUGCAAGUCGAACGAUUAAAGCUCUCUUCGGAGAGUGUAUAGAGUGGCGCACGGGUGAGUAACACGUAAGUAAUCUACCCUCGAGUGGGGAAUAACAACCGGAAACGGUUGCUAAUACCGCAUAAUGCAGCGGCACCGCAAGGUGACAGUUGUUAAAGAUUUAUCGCUUGAGGAGGAGCUUGCGGCAGAUUAGCUAGUUGGUAGGGUAACGGCUUACCAAGGCCACGAUCUGUAACCGGUCUAAGAGGACGGUCGGUCACACUGACACUGAAUAACGGGUCAGACUCCUACGGGAGGCAGCAGUCGGGAAUUUUGGGCAAUGGGCGAAAGCCUGACCCAGCAACGCCGCGUGAAGGAUGAAGUAUUUCGGUAUGUAAACUUCGAAAGAAUAGGAAGAAUUAACGACGGUACUAUUUAUAAGGUCCGGCUAACUACGUG
RNAcentral lists this ribosomal RNA (465 nucleotides) under uncultured bacterium. RNAcentral's name for it is "bacterial SSU rRNA". It matches the Rfam family "Bacterial small subunit ribosomal RNA", at positions 32 to 507 of the family's 1533-position model. The record is from RNAcentral.